Molecule: non-coding RNA, 414 nt
Organism: Theobroma cacao (cacao)
Lineage: Eukaryota; Viridiplantae; Streptophyta; Magnoliopsida; Malvales; Malvaceae
Source: RefSeq, a predicted model, not a curated record
AUACUUGGGAUGUCCUUGUACUUGUGUUCGAUGAAAGAAAAAUUUUGGUGGAAGAAGAAGAGUAAUUUCAAGGUGUAGACCUCUAAUGCAUAUGUUUCAGUAUUUCAGCCAUAACUUUCGUUACAGAAUUCCAAAUAAAAUGAUCAAGGUCGCAGCUUUAGAGGAGGUAGGCCAUGGCCCACGCAGUCUGAUGAGGAAAUCUUUAUUGGAAUUAACUUCUUUCUUCACCCAACUUGGCCUAACUUCAAAGUCCUAUAAAAACAACCUUUCGGAUGACUUUUAGGAUAUAACGAAACAUCGGAUUGACAGCUAAGAUUCAAGUCGUGAAGUCAUUGAAGUUGAGAAGAAUUUGAAGGAUUCAAGAAGAUUUGGAGAUCAAGAUUACCAUUCUUGGUUUUUUCUAUCUCUUGUUAU